RNAcentral lists this ribosomal RNA (375 nucleotides) under Salmonella enterica. RNAcentral describes it as "bacterial SSU rRNA". It matches the Rfam family "Bacterial small subunit ribosomal RNA", at positions 1 to 372 of the family's 1533-position model. Lineage: Bacteria; Pseudomonadati; Pseudomonadota; Gammaproteobacteria; Enterobacterales; Enterobacteriaceae. The record is from RNAcentral.
AAAUUGAAGAGUUUGAUCAUGGCUCAGAUUGAACGCUGGCGGCAGGCCUAACACAUGCAAGUCGAACGGUAACAGGAAGCAGCUUGCUGCUUCGCUGACGAGUGGCGGACGGGUGAGUAAUGUCUGGGAAACUGCCUGAUGGAGGGGGAUAACUACUGGAAACGGUGGCUAAUACCGCAUAACGUCGCAAGACCAAAGAGGGGGACCUUCGGGCCUCUUGCCAUCAGAUGUGCCCAGAUGGGAUUAGCUAGUUGGUGAGGUAACGGCUCACCAAGGCGACGAUCCCUAGCUGGUCUGAGAGGAUGACCAGCCACACUGGAACUGAGACACGGUCCAGACUCCUACGGGAGGCAGCAGUGGGGAAUAUUGCACAAU